CAGCCGCCACGGUAAUACGGAGGGUGCAAGCGUUAUCCGGAUUCACUGGGUUUAAAGGGUGCGUAGGCGGAUCUGUAAGUCAGUGGUGAAAUCUCCAGGCUUAACCUGGAAACUGCCGUUGAUACUAUAGGUCUUGAAUUUUGUGGAGGUUAGCGGAGUAUGUCAUGUAGCGGUGAAAUGCAUAGAUAUGACAUAGAACACCAAUUGCGAAGGCAGCUGGCUACACAACUAUUGACGCUGAGGCACGAAAGCGUGGGGAUCAAACAGGAUUAGAUACCCGCGUAGUCCCUGUCUCUUAUAC
This 301-nucleotide ribosomal RNA is filed under the name uncultured bacterium. RNAcentral describes it as "partial 16S ribosomal RNA". It matches the Rfam family "Bacterial small subunit ribosomal RNA", at positions 509 to 807 of the family's 1533-position model. The record is from RNAcentral.